RNAcentral lists this non-coding RNA (533 nucleotides) under Pan troglodytes (chimpanzee). The record is from RNAcentral. Lineage: Eukaryota; Metazoa; Chordata; Mammalia; Primates; Hominidae.
AAAAAAGGAAGGAAGAAAGGAGGAAGAGGCAGGCACAAGACAAAAUGAAUCUCUCCGCUGUGCACAUGGAGCCUUAGCUCUGAUUCCAGUUGAGCAAAAUUAUGAAGAAGAUGAUUCCCCAUAUGGAGGACAGAUAAACACCCUGCGGCGAGUCACUCACUCCCGAAAGGCCCUCUGAAGGAUCGCGCAUGUCCUGACUGCACAGCCUGCUCCUGACAAUGCUCUCAAAGCCACGGUUGUAAUAGAAAGUGGAAAAUUAAAGCAGAUCCGACAAGAUGGGAUUUCCCCUCCACAAGCACUCUCUUGCCUGCUGCCAUGUAAGGCAUUCCUUCGCUCCUGCUUUGCCUUCCGCCAUGAUUGGGAGGCCUCCCCAACCAUGUGGAACUAGAUGGGGUUUCAUCAUGUUGCCCAGCCUAGCCUUGAACUCCUCGGCUCAAGUGAACUGCCUGCCUCGGCCUCCCAAAGUGCUGGGACUACAGUGAGCCACCUUGCUGGCCUACACAGCACAGCUUUUAAAGACACAACACGCUUUG